Molecule: long non-coding RNA, 1247 nt
Filed under: Bos taurus (domestic cattle)
Lineage: Eukaryota; Metazoa; Chordata; Mammalia; Artiodactyla; Bovidae
Description: long non-coding RNA NONBTAT005654
Source: RNAcentral
AGGGAAGGAAGUGCAGAGAGAAGGGCUGUGUGCCCAUCAGUCUUUAUAGACAAGUUCAGAUUGUCUACCCAUUGUUCUGUUUGUGCAUUUUAGUUAAUAUUGCUAUGUAUUAACAAGCAAGUCCUAAUGCCCAAAGUAUAUCAAAAGUAGAGGUAGUAAAAUAACCCCUUAAUGAAUGCCCUUUUGUUGGCUUUUAGGAAGGGCUGUGUCUUCUGGGAGUAUCUAUGUUAAUCCACCUCUUGGAACUAGAUGUAGUCUGGUACUUAGUCGCUGAAAUGCUGGAGGAGUAAGAGGAAGGGUGAGGGGAAGGGCUCUUGGCUAAUAGCUCCCAUUAUCUGGAAGACAGUUUUAGGUUUUAACUAUAGGUCUGUAUGUGCAUUUUUGUGAAGUACCUAUGUUUAUUGUGGACAAGCUUCAUUACUUUGCAACAUCUAGGCUUUUUAGAUGUCCUGAGGUGACAAUGUAUGAUAUAAAGUAGAGCUAGUGAAUUAACCAAUUUGUAAAUAUCUUUGUUAGAAUUGAUUUUUUUUAAAAGGCAGCAUCUUGGACCUGGAAUUAUUAUACCUUCUCUGAGAACUGUACAUCAGGACUUGCUCAUCUAGGUUGGCAGCUGAGGGGAGGAAGGAAGUCUAGAGGGAGGGCUGUGUGUGGAUGUGCUCAUGUUUAUAUUUUGAUGAUAACCAUUGAUGUGCGUGCAUCUCCUGGCUGUACUAUAUAUAGGAAUGCAUUGUUUAAUAAUUCAGCAGAAGCAUACCUCCUUGCUAACACCGUAAUAGUUUAGAUCAGAUGAUGAACCCUCCUAGAACUAUUAUGCUUUGUGUGCUCUGUUGCUUUAUGUCUCAUUUUAAUUGAACAUUAAGGGAAUGUAGUAUUUUAAUCAUGAUCUAGAGGCCUGUUGCCAUUUUUGUCUUUGAAAUUUUUGUUGCCAAGUAAGGCAAGAUUACAUUUUUUUCCUUCCAGAUUGAGUUGGUGUAGUAUAUUCUUGGUUAUCAAAAUACUCAUAGCUUUGGGACUUUGAAAUGGUAAAUAUUCAUGAUGUGUGAAACAGCAUGAUACAUAACUGUAGGUCUUCAUUACAUAAAAAUGGAUGCUUGGUUGUGAAGAUACACAAACGAGACCUAGAAGGACAUGUCACGGUAAACUGCUUGUGAUUCUGAAUGACUUCGUUUUUUGCUUCUUGUGCUUUUUGGUUUCCUAUUAUGCACAUGUUAACUUUUAAGAAAUAAAUGUUAUUUUAAAAACCUUAA